UUAAGUAGAGGUGCGGUGAUCAACAGUAUCACACCGGAGGUGCUGACAGCCGGUGAGGGUGUGAAAAAGGGUGAACCGCCGAAGUGAGGCCGGUAGUCAGAACGGGUUUGCUGGGUCUGCGGUGAAUAACUGCAGGACUGUCACCGGUUACGGUGGAGUGCUACUUC
Molecule: non-coding RNA, 167 nt
Filed under: uncultured Eubacterium sp.
Lineage: Bacteria; Bacillati; Bacillota; Clostridia; Eubacteriales; Eubacteriaceae
Description: Lysine riboswitch
Rfam family: Lysine riboswitch aptamer
About the family: Riboswitches are metabolite binding domains within certain messenger RNAs that serve as precision sensors for their corresponding targets. Allosteric rearrangement of mRNA structure is mediated by ligand binding, and this results in modulation of gene expression.
Source: RNAcentral